Molecule: ribosomal RNA, 626 nt
Filed under: Vibrio parahaemolyticus
Lineage: Bacteria; Pseudomonadati; Pseudomonadota; Gammaproteobacteria; Vibrionales; Vibrionaceae
Description: bacterial SSU rRNA
Rfam family: Bacterial small subunit ribosomal RNA
Source: RNAcentral
CGUAAAGCGCAUGCAGGUGGUUUGUUAAGUCAGAUGUGAAAGCCCGGGGCUCAACCUCGGAAUUGCAUUUGAAACUGGCAGACUAGAGUACUGUAGAGGGGGGUAGAAUUUCAGGUGUAGCGGUGAAAUGCGUAGAGAUCUGAAGGAAUACCGGUGGCGAAGGCGGCCCCCUGGACAGAUACUGACACUCAGAUGCGAAAGCGUGGGGAGCAAACAGGAUUAGAUACCCUGGUAGUCCACGCCGUAAACGAUGUCUACUUGGAGGUUGUGGCCUUGAGCCGUGGCUUUCGGAGCUAACGCGUUAAGUAGACCGCCUGGGGAGUACGGUCGCAAGAUUAAAACUCAAAUGAAUUGACGGGGGCCCGCACAAGCGGUGGAGCAUGUGGUUUAAUUCGAUGCAACGCGAAGAACCUUACCUACUCUUGACAUCCAGAGAACUUUCCAGAGAUGGAUUGGUGCCUUCGGGAACUCUGAGACAGGUGCUGCAUGGCUGUCGUCAGCUCGUGUUGUGAAAUGUUGGGUUAAGUCCCGCAACGAGCGCAACCCUUAUCCUUGUUUGCCAGCGAGUAAUGUCGGGAACUCCAGGGAGACUGCCGGUGAUAAACCGGAGGAAGGUGGGGACGACG